GCGUCAGUAGUUCCAUGGUAGAAUACUCGCCUGCCACGCGGGUGACCCGGGUUCGAUUCCCGGCUGACGCA
This 71-nucleotide transfer RNA is filed under the name Rhipicephalus microplus (southern cattle tick). Its description in RNAcentral is "tRNA-Gly". It matches the Rfam family "tRNA". From Rfam's summary of the family: Transfer RNA (tRNA) molecules are approximately 80 nucleotides in length. Their secondary structure includes four short double-helical elements and three loops (D, anti-codon, and T loops). The record is from Rfam by way of RNAcentral. Lineage: Eukaryota; Metazoa; Arthropoda; Arachnida; Ixodida; Ixodidae.